CCUUUUGCUUUUCCCUCUCCUGGCGUAGUUGGACUAGACACUCGGCGCGCACGGCCGCCAUCUCCUCCUCAUGCUUCUUUUGCANUUCUUCAUGNCUCNUCUGCAUCUCUUCCAUCCUCAUCUCCAGAGCGCGUACAAUCCCGCUCGUCUCCUCAGUGCUAGCGUUUCUCGUGGUCACCAUUGGGUAUAAACCUCUGGCCCCACGGUGGGCGCCAAAUGUUUCUACUGUCGGGGUCUAGUCGGUCUGGGCUCUCCGCUGCCGUCCGCUCGGAUCUUUCGUUCGCGAUCGGAGCUUCCCUCUUGUUGUCCUGGAACGUCCGGUCGGGUACCUGCUAAAAGCACUCCGACGCUCAAGUCAAUGUUCGGUUUUAGAAACUAGUGAUAGAAAGAGAAAGUGAGAUAAAUGUGCAUUAAAUGUAACCACCUACCUUUCACCUUUGACUUUUAUUUAUAGUUUUUUCUAUGGGCCAGUGAUUAGCAGAAUCUUAAUCCAGGCCCAAUCGCAAGCCUGUUGGGGUUAAUCUGGUUUUACCUUAACGCUGUGCAGCUUCCAAAAUUUCCGUUGAUCUUCGCCGGACGGCCGUCUCAUUGUCAACGAG
Molecule: long non-coding RNA, 599 nt
Filed under: Vigna radiata
Lineage: Eukaryota; Viridiplantae; Streptophyta; Magnoliopsida; Fabales; Fabaceae
Description: long non-coding RNA (VRAD_LNC002781)
Source: RNAcentral